This 849-nucleotide long non-coding RNA is filed under the name Capsella rubella. RNAcentral describes it as "long non-coding RNA (CRUB_LNC001465)". The record is from RNAcentral. Lineage: Eukaryota; Viridiplantae; Streptophyta; Magnoliopsida; Brassicales; Brassicaceae.
AACACAAUAAUAACUUUCACAAGUUUUUCUUUUUAACGAACGUCGGCAAAAAUGUCUUUUCUCUUAAUUUUUGGCGAAAAGAAAAAUAUUUCCUUUUCUGGGGAUCUCUUUUGUGUGAUUUUUUUUUUUUUUUUGUUGAUACGGAUCGUCACAUAUAAUAUGUGCAUAUAUAUUAGAAAACGUGAAUCCACACACGCAUACAAUCACCCUUUUAUAUGUCAAGCCAUGUGCGAAAAAAGCGAUUGUUAUACUAGAGUAUCCCUUUGGAUGACAAUAAAGAGAAAGAUGGUUCUAAGAAGUGACUAAAGAAGUAUAUAUAUACAACAAGGCCAUCAUUAUAUAUACAAACGACUACAUAUAUAUAUAUAUAUAUGUUACAGUGUAAGAGAGACCAAUCUCGUUAUGUACUGUAAAAUAAAGCUGUAUAGUUUAAAAUCUACUUUAGAAAAAACAAACGAUGUAUGACUAGACGACAUGUUGGAUUUCUCAUUUUAGAAUUGUCUCUUUAUUUUGUUUUUGUCAUUAUGGUAACAAACGCGCGCAAUAUAUUAUCUGCAACACAACGUUAUACUGGUUGAACUAUGUAUUUUUGUUUUGUUGUUGAGAUUUUUCUUUUAAACGGAUGCAAUUUUUUUUUUUUUUGUUUUAUAAAAUCAAAAUUGAGUUGGCCUUACAAAAUUGUACCAUUUCUCCGAUUCAGAACCAAAAUUCUAGAAUUGUAAAUGCCUAAAAGCUUAUGACAUCAGAUAAUGAUAAUACAACUACUGUAGUUGACAAAAAGGAAAUUAAACAUAAAACAAUACAACUAAACCAACGAUAAGCUGAUUCAAAUAUAAAAUUUGAAAUCUC